Molecule: non-coding RNA, 639 nt
Organism: Pelobates cultripes (western spadefoot toad)
Lineage: Eukaryota; Metazoa; Chordata; Amphibia; Anura; Pelobatidae
Source: the annotation of a GenBank genome assembly
CAGCAAAAUACCCAUUAACAUACAUGACAAUUAAACUGCGCACUUCAAAAUGAGUAACCAAAACAAACAUUUAUGACAAUCAUCAUUCACACAGAAUAAACUUCUAACAGCUGUAUUCAGAACAUAUUAUUGUAAGGUAUACCAAUUUUAGUUUGUAUUGGAUUUAUUUAAGAUUUCUGGUACCAAAGGGUUUAUUUUUUCUUUUUUAAAGAAGGGAUCCCGUACGGCCAUAUAACACGUUUGACUUAAACAUUUGUAUAACACUUGCAUUAACCAGUUGCAACAUAUGUACCCUGUCAAUGGAAUUUCUCUCUUAUACGCUUAUAGAACAUUUGGACCAGAUUACACAGACAUGGUAUCACCUGCAUUUGUCAGAACUCUCAAAGACUCAAAAUAUUUAUACUACUCCAUGUUAAAGGCAUGGCAAAAUUUUGACCGGUCAAUUUGAGUUUCCAAAAGUCAUAUCAACACAGGUAAAAACCUUUGUCCAUGGUUUUCUGAUCCUACAUUCCAUGACCAAAAUUUCAAACCCACUUCUUCACAGUUUGGGUCACAAGCAAUAAAAUCUCAGCAACCCCAUACAAUAAUUUACAGAAUACAUACAAUUUAAAGCACAUACAACAUGUGACGUACUGGAAU